CCCAUCUCAAAUCUACACAAUCCAAAUUUUCUAUGACAUAAUAUUAGUGCGUAAAAAUUGAAAAAUAAAAUGAAACGUAAUAUACGACAAUUAUUGAAAGGUUAUGCUUGCUCACCCAACACAAAUCCCCUUUAACAGUUCGAAAUUCCAUCCAGAUUAUGGAUCCUUGACUUCAAAAAAUUGAAAAAAAAAAUCCCAAUCAAAUUCAAAAUCUGCUAAUCAUAGAGCAAAAAUUAGACUUUGAUUAGGUUACUUAAAUAGAGCAAAUUAUAAUAAUAUUAUAAAGCAUAGCAUUUUUGAAAUUUUAAGUAUGUUUAAGAAAAAAAUGCAGAACUGAAGGCAUCUGACAAGAUUCUGAUUUUGACUGACGCUCCUGAGGAGAGAGAUUGCAGUCAUCACAAUUAAUGCAUGCAGAAACUGCUUUAAUAUUUUGAACCAGCCCUGUCCACCAGAUUAGAUUAGCAAGCACCAGUGCCCCAACACAACAUAAAGUUAAAGUGUUAAACCACACCCCCCACACACACACCAAAAAAAAAUAAAAAAAAAAUUCCUUAACAAAUCACAAUCACAUAAUUGAAAAAAAAAAAAAAGAGAAAAGAAGAAGCAUAUUCACAAAGAAAAAGGAUAAUUCACAAUCACAUGAUCCUCUAGCUCAUUUCUCUUAGCAAACAGAAGGAAUCAGAGAAUUCAGAAUCUUACAAAUCCCUUCUAGGCAAAAUUAAAGCAGAUGAUGAAUUGAUGAUGAUGAUGAAAGAAGCCUUUUUUUUUAAAAAAAAAAAAACUUCUUUUCCCCCAUAUACAUCAUCAAUGAUACAAUUCCAAGCGCCUAGAGCAUAAACUACAAAAAUACUUCUUUUUAAUCUUGUAGCAGAUGGGCAAGAAGCAGAACCUGCACUGACUCUCGAAAUCAAUGGCUAAAACUUUGCCUCCACAGUACGGACAUGAACCUGGAGCUUGUUGCCUCCCCAGCUCCCUCUCUUCUUCUGAGCAGACGUACACUAAACACAUUUUCUUCCUCCUUUAUCUGAUCUCUCGGGACUAAUUAUUAUUUGGGUUAGGCUAAUGGGUGUUCUUUUCUCUUCUCUCUAUUAUUAUUAUUAUUAUUAUUUUAUAUUUUUUGAGUGUUUCGGUGGGGAAAAUGUAAACAGAGCAAACUGAAGGCUCUCGAAAUGAUGUUGUGUCCAGACAGCAUUUAUAUAGAACACCAUACGGGUUGGUUGGAGACAAAUAUCAAAUAUUACCGGGUUACUUUUUACUUUUAAUAUUUACCAUUGCGAAAAAAAAAUUUAAGGUGAAAUAAUC
This 1302-nucleotide long non-coding RNA is filed under the name Citrus maxima (pomelo). Its description in RNAcentral is "long non-coding RNA (CMAX_LNC001991)". Lineage: Eukaryota; Viridiplantae; Streptophyta; Magnoliopsida; Sapindales; Rutaceae. The record is from RNAcentral.